This 540-nucleotide long non-coding RNA is filed under the name Ananas comosus (pineapple). RNAcentral's name for it is "long non-coding RNA (ACOM_LNC028631)". Lineage: Eukaryota; Viridiplantae; Streptophyta; Magnoliopsida; Poales; Bromeliaceae. The record is from RNAcentral.
CUUCAAAUUAUAAUAUAAAAAAAUAAUAUUUACAAAUUGAACAAUGCAAAGUAAUUGCAAAACAGAACUAAUCAUAAAAAUAAAAUUAAUCUUAAUAAAACUCGACCAUCAUCGAACAAUUUCCGACUUUGUCUCCGUCAAAAUAUCAACAAACCUAACCUUUUCUUCAAGUGUAAUGCUUCUAUAUUUGUUUUUUUUCGUUACCGUUCAUUUACUCCUAUUCAACUGCUCAGAUUUAAUUUUUUUUAAAUUGUGACUUGCAAUAGCAGAUCACUUUGGGAGAGGUACCAGUUACUAGGUACAUCAAAAAAGAGUAUUUUUUUAUUUUAAUACAUGGACAAUUUAAAAUUUUAUCUCUACUAUAUUAUUAAAAUUUUUAUUCUCUCUUUAUUUCCUUUUUCUCUCUCUAUCUUUUCUCUCAUGUUUUGGCAUUUCAUAUAAGAAAAGUUUCAAAUUAUUUGACAACAUAAUUUUAAAAGAUAAUUUUUCUUUUCUCUUUGUUUAAUUGUUUAAUAUUACAAAUGAUUUUAAUUUUAAGAA